UGCGUACCUUUUGUAUAAUGGGUCAGCGACUUAUAUUCUGUAGCAAGGUUAACCGAAUAGGGGAGCCGGAGGGAAACCGAGUCUUAACCGGGCGUUAAGUUGCAGGGUAUAGACCCGAAACCCGGUGAUCUAGCCAUGGGCAGGUUGAAGGUUGGGUAACACUAACUGGAGGACCGAACCGACUAAUGUUGAAAAAUUAGCGGAUGACCUGUGGCUGGGGGUGAAAGGCCAAUCAAACCGGGAGAUAGCUGGUUCUCCCCGAAAGCUAUUUAGGUAGCGCCUCGUGAACUCAUCUCCGGGGGUAGAGCACUGUUUCGGCUAGGGGGCCAUCCCGGCUUACCAACCCGAUGCAAACUGCGAAUACCGGAGAAUGUUAUCACGGGAGACACACGGCGGGUGCUAACGUCCGUCGUGAAGAGGGAAACAACCCAGACCGCCAGCUAAGGUCCCAAAGUCAUGGUUAAGUGGGAAACGAUGUGGGAAGGCCCAGACAGCCAGGAUGUUGGCUUAGAAGCAGCCAUCAUUUAAAGAAAGCGUAAUAGCUCACUGGUCGAGUCGGCCUGCGCGGAAGAUGUAACGGGGCUAAACCAUGCACCGAAGCUGCGGCAGCGACACUCAGGUGUUGUUGGGUAGGGGAGCGUUCUGUAAGCCUGCGAAGGUGGCCUGUGAGGGUUGCUGGAGGUAUCAGAAGUGCGAAUGCUGACAUAAGUAACGAUAAAGCGGGUGAAAAGCCCGCUCGCCGGAAGACCAAGGGUUCCUGUCCAACGUUAAUCGGGGCAGGGUGAGUCGACCCCUAAGGCGAGGCCGAAAGGCGUAGUCGAUGGGAAACGGGUUAAUAUUCCCGUACUUGGUGUUACUGCGAAGGGGGGACGGAGAAGGCUAUGUUGGCCGGGCGACGGUUGUCCCGGUUUAAGCGUGUAGGUGUGUGUUCCAGGUAAAUCCGGUUCACUUUAACACUGAGGCGUGAUGACGAGGCACUACGGUGCUGAAGCAACAAAUGCCCUGCUUCCAGGAAAAGCCUCUAAGCAUCAGGUAACAUCAAAUCGUACCCCAAACCGACACAGGUGGUCAGGUAGAGAAUACCAAGGCGCUUGAGAGAACUCGGGUGAAGGAACUAGGCAAAAUGGUGCCGUAACUUCGGGAGAAGGCACGCUGACACGUAGGUGAAGUGAUUUACUCAUGGAGCUGAAGUCAGUCGAAGAUACCAGCUGGCUGCAACUGUUUAUUAAAAACACAGCACUGUGCAAACACGAAAGUGGACGUAUACGGUGUGACGCCUGCCCGGUGCCGGAAGGUUAAUUGAUGGGGUCAGCGCAAGCGAAGCUCCUGAUCGAAGCCCCGGUAAACGGCGGCCGUAACUAUAACGGUCCUAAGGUAGCGAAAUUCCUUGUCGGGUAAGUUCCGACCUGCACGAAUGGCGUAAUGAUGGCCAGGCUGUCUCCACCCGAGACUCAGUGAAAUUGAACUCGCUGUGAAGAUGCAGUGUACCCGCGGCAAGACGGAAAGACCCCGUGAACCUUUACUAUAGCUUGACACUGAACAUUGAGCCUUGAUGUGUAGGAUAGGUGGGAGGCUUUGAAGUGUGGACGCCAGUCUGCAUGGAGCCGGCCUUGAAAUACCACCCUUUAAUGUUUGAUGUUCUAACGUGGACCCGUGAUCCGGGUUGCGGACAGUGUCUGGUGGGUAGUUUGACUGGGGCGGUCUCCUCCUAAAGAGUAACGGAGGAGCACGAAGGUUGGCUAAUCCUGGUCGGACAUCAGGAGGUUAGUGCAAUGGCAUAAGCCAGCUUGACUGCGAGCGUGACGGCGCGAGCAGGUGCGAAAGCAGGUCAUAGUGAUCCGGUGGUUCUGAAUGGAAGGGCCAUCGCUCAACGGAUAAAAGGUACUCCGGGGAUAACAGGCUGAUACCGCCCAAGAGUUCAUAUCGACGGCGGUGUUUGGCACCUCGAUGUCGGCUCAUCACAUCCUGGGGCUGAAGUAGGUCCCAAGGGUAUGGCUGUUCGCCAUUUAAAGUGGUACGCGAGCUGGGUUUAGAACGUCGUGAGACAGUUCGGUCCCUAUCUGCCGUGGGCGCUGGAGAACUGAGGGGGGCUGCUCCUAGUACGAGAGGACCGGAGUGGACGCAUCACUGGUGUUCGGGUUGUCAUGCCAAUGGCACUGCCCGGUAGCUAAAUGCGGAAGAGAUAAGUGCUGAAAGCAUCUAAGCACGAAACUUGCCCCGAGAUGAGUUCUCCCUGAGACUUUAGGUCUCCUGAAGGAACGUUGAAGACGACGACGUUGAUAGGCCGGGUGUGUAAGCGCAGCGAUGCGUUGAGCUAACCGGUACUAAUGAACCGUGAGGCUUAACCUUACA
Molecule: ribosomal RNA, 2352 nt
Filed under: Salmonella enterica
Lineage: Bacteria; Pseudomonadati; Pseudomonadota; Gammaproteobacteria; Enterobacterales; Enterobacteriaceae
Description: partial 23S ribosomal RNA
Rfam family: Bacterial large subunit ribosomal RNA
Source: RNAcentral